RNAcentral lists this ribosomal RNA (494 nucleotides) under uncultured bacterium. RNAcentral describes it as "partial 16S ribosomal RNA". It matches the Rfam family "Bacterial small subunit ribosomal RNA", at positions 28 to 507 of the family's 1533-position model. The record is from RNAcentral.
GAUGAACGCCGGCGGCGUGCCUAAUACAUGCAAGUCGAGCGAACAGAUGAGGAGCUUGCUCCUCUGACGUUAGCGGCGGACGGGUGAGUAACACGUGGAUAACCUACCUAUAAGACUGGGAUAACUUCGGGAAACCGGAGCUAAUACCGGAUAAUAUAUUGAACCGCAUGGUUCAAUAGUGAAAGACGGUUUUGCUGUCACUUAUAGAUGGAUCCGCGCCGCAUUAGCUAGUUGGUAAGGUAACGGCUUACCAAGGCAACGAUGCGUAGCCGACCUGAGAGGAUGGUCCACCACAGUGGAGAUGAGAGGUCGACCAGCCUCCUACGGGAGGCAGUAGGGAAUCUUCCGCAAUGGGCGAAAGCCUGACGGAGCAACGCCGCGUGAGUGAUGAAGGUCUUCGGAUCGUAAAACUCUGUUAUUAGGGAAGAACAAAUGUGUAAGUAACUAUGCACGUCUUGACGGUACCUAAUCAGAAAGCCACGGCUAACUACGUG